GAUGAGCGCUGACAGAAUGCUUAACACAUGCAAGUCUAUGAGAAGAUCUACUUCGGUAGAAGGUUAUCAUGGCGGACGGGUGAGUAACGCGUAAAGAACUUGCCUCUUAGACUGGGAUAACAGAUGGAAACGUCUGAUAAGACUAGAUAUAAUAGCGACAUGGCAUCAUGUUGUUAUGAAAGGUAACACUAAGAGAGAGCUUUGCGUCCUAUUAGUUAGUUGGUGAGGUAAUGGCUCACCAAGACGAUGAUAGGUAGCCGGCCUGAGAGGGUGAACGGCCACAAGGGGACUGAGAUACGGCCCUUACUCUUACGGGAGGCAGCAGUGGGGAAUAUUGGACAAUGGAGGAAACUCUGAUCCAGCAAUUCUGUGUGCACGAUGAAGGUUUUGGACCCUCGUAAAGUGCUUUCAGUAGGGAAGAAGAAAGUGACGGUACCUACAGAAGAAGCGACGGCUAAAUACGUGCCAGCAGCCGCGGU
Molecule: ribosomal RNA, 479 nt
Filed under: uncultured bacterium
Lineage: Bacteria
Description: bacterial SSU rRNA
Rfam family: Bacterial small subunit ribosomal RNA
Source: RNAcentral